This 910-nucleotide long non-coding RNA is filed under the name Pan troglodytes (chimpanzee). RNAcentral describes it as "long non-coding RNA NONPTRT017228". The record is from RNAcentral. Lineage: Eukaryota; Metazoa; Chordata; Mammalia; Primates; Hominidae.
UCUCAUUUUGAGGUUUUUAAAGAGAAAAUUUGUGGACAUACCUAGCACAGUGUUCAGUAUAGUUGGUGUCGAAUAAACAUUGUCUUUUUAUGUGGGGGUGAGGGGAAGGCUCUGGAGGAGGUAGAAAAGAAAGUUAGUCAAACUUCCUUCCAUGUCAUUUAUCUUCCUGCCAUUACCUUUUCCAGCCCCACUCAUUUGAUGGAACAGAAAACUUUCAGCUCAAAGACAGCCCUUACUUACUGUCUGAGCCAGUCCUGGCCAAUUGGGCUAUAUUUCAAGAGCCCUCCCACUAGAAAGAAUUUGGAAUUACUAUUGUGCUGGGGGUGGGCUAUGGGUAUGUACCCACUCGCUGAGCUUCGCUUUUCCUCUCUAACCUCCAUCUUCUGACUGAGAUUUGGCCUUGAUCUCCUGGGUGCAGUUUAAUUACUUUGCUGAGACCAAAAGCCUUCUGUCAAUACCACAUCUAUCCAGCUUGACCCAGCAUCUGCAUAACGUUAAUUAACCGCUUCUCACAAGCACUGAAUCCAAGUGAUGGUCUGUUGUUUAGUGUUUAUCUGCUUUAUCAGCCCACUGUCUGAAUGCCCUUCAUGAGCUUGGGGUCUCUAGCAUCUACAUAACGUUAACCUCUUCUCAUGAGUACCAAGCCAAAAUUGAUGGGUCUUUGCUCUUUAAGCAUUAAAAAAAAAUCAGUGCAGUGCCUGAACCCUCUUCUGAUGUUUGAAAAUCCUUCUUUGCAUGAGGAAGCCUGAAAGGCCAGAUGUUGAUAGUUAGAAUGUGGCCACCUGUGUGUGCUUGACGAAGAGAUGCUCAUGCUCAAGUCUGUAAAUUUGAAACCAGUGAUGCAGAGUGGCAAGGAAUAGGCCAGAAUUCAUUCCCUCUGAUAAGUUUCAUAAGCUAGAAAUUGACUAAU